AACGAACGCUGGCGGCGUGCUUAACACAUGCAAGUCGAACGAGAAGUACGUAGCAAUACGUAUUGUAAAGUGGCGCACGGGUGAGUAACACGUGGGUAAUCUGCCCUCGAGCUUGGGAUAACCCCGCGAAAGCGGGGCUAAUACCGAAUAAGACCACGGGGACCAAAGUCCCUGAGGUAAAAGGUGGCCUCUAUUUAUAAGCUACCACUUGAGGAUGAGCCCGCGGCCCAUUAGCUAGUUGGCAGGGUAACGGCCUACCAAGGCUAUGAUGGGUAGCUGGUCUGAGAGGACGAUCAGCCACACUGGAACUGAGACACGGUCCAGACUCCUACGGGAGGCAGCAGUGGGGAAUAUUGCGCAAAGGGCGAAAGCCUGACGCAGCAACGCCGCGUGGGGGAUGAAGGUUCUCGGAUUGUAAACCCCUUUCGAUCGGAACGAAUCCCCUCCUGGUGAACAAUCAGGAGGAUCGACGGUACCGAGAGAAGAAGCCACGGCUAACUCUGUGCCAGCCGCCGCCGUAA
Molecule: ribosomal RNA, 521 nt
Filed under: uncultured bacterium
Lineage: Bacteria
Description: partial 16S ribosomal RNA
Rfam family: Bacterial small subunit ribosomal RNA
Source: RNAcentral